This 19-nucleotide microRNA is filed under the name Mus musculus (house mouse). RNAcentral's name for it is "microRNA miR-L-22". The record is from RNAcentral. Lineage: Eukaryota; Metazoa; Chordata; Mammalia; Rodentia; Muridae.
AGCCAAUGGUGCGAAGCUA